UACGAAGGGGGCUAGCGUUGCUCGGAAUUACUGGGCGUAAAGCGCACGUAGGCGGUCUUUUAAGUCGGGGGUGAAAUCCUGGAGCUCAACUCCAGAACUGCCUUCGAUACUGGAAGACUUGAGUCCGGGAGAGGUGAGUGGAACUGCGAGUGUAGAGGUGAAAUUCGUAGAUAUUGGGAAGAACACCAGUGGCGAAGGCGGCUAACUGGUCCAGAUCUGACGCUGAGGUGCGAAAGCGUGGGGAGCAAACGGG
RNAcentral lists this ribosomal RNA (253 nucleotides) under uncultured bacterium. Its description in RNAcentral is "partial 16S ribosomal RNA". It matches the Rfam family "Bacterial small subunit ribosomal RNA", at positions 524 to 776 of the family's 1533-position model. The record is from RNAcentral.